Molecule: long non-coding RNA, 483 nt
Filed under: Bos taurus (domestic cattle)
Lineage: Eukaryota; Metazoa; Chordata; Mammalia; Artiodactyla; Bovidae
Description: long non-coding RNA NONBTAT025281
Source: RNAcentral
AAUUGAAGUGAAGGGAUUUCAUUUUUGUUGAAGUUAGUCAAAUAAAUUACCCACUGGGAUGUAGCCAAAGCCCUACAAGAACAGUUGAGUUUUUUGUAUUUUUAUUUUGUCCUUAUAUUUCAUAGCAGUGUAGUGUUACCUAUCAGAGUAAAUCUAUAAUCUGACAUGAGUCUGUUAUUGUCCUAGAUGGGAAGAAACCCUUAAAACAAGUUGCUAAGGAUUCUGAUUUCAGAUUAGGCAUUCCAGUUUCUUUCCAUGAGGUUAACUGCCAGUACAGUCUCCACAAUUUGAAUGACAUCAAUCAUUCUAUAAUUCCUGCCAAAAUCACCUACUAGUUAUGCAUUAUCAGGGCUCUCUUUGCACUCUCAAGAAGAACUGAAAACUUUAAAGAGUUGUUUAUCUUUAUGUGUUUUGAAGAAUAUCUUUAUAUUGUUUCUUCUGACACUCUCCACAAUGGAAAAAUUAUCAAAUUAAGCCUACCUU